UACAUGCAGUCGAGCGAAUGGAUUAAGAGCUUGCUCUUAUGAAGUUAGCGGCGGACGGGUGAGUAACACGUGGGUAACCUGCCCAUAAGACUGGGAUAACUCCGGGAAACCGGGGCUAAUACCGGAUAACAUUUUGAACCGCAUGGUUCGAAAUUGAAAGGCGGCUUCGGCUGUCACUUAUGGAUGGACCCGCGUCGCAUUAGCUAGUUGGUGAGGUAACGGCUCACCAAGGCAACGAUGCGUAGCCGACCUGAGAGGGUGAUCGGCCACACUGGGACUGAGACACGGCCCAGACUCCUACGGGAGGCAGCAGUAGGGAAUCUUCCGCAAUGGACGAAAGUCUGACGGAGCAACGCCGCGUGAGUGAUGAAGGCUUUCGGGUCGUAAAACUCUGUUGUUAGGGAAGAACAAGUGCUAGUUGAAUAAGCUGGCACCUUGACGGUACCUAACCAGAAAGCCACGGCUAACUACGUGCCAGCAGCCGCGGUAAUACGUAGGUGGCAAGCGUUAUCCGGAAUUAUUGGGCGUAAAGCGCGCGCAGGUGGUUUCUUAAGUCUGAUGUGAAAGCCCACGGCUCAACCGUGGAGGGUCAUUGGAAACUGGGAGACUUGAGUGCAGAAGAGGAGAGUGGAAUUCCAUGUGUAGCGGUGAAAUGCGUAGAGAUAUGGAGGAACACCAGUGGCGAAGCGACUUUCUGGUCUGUAACUGACACUGAG
Molecule: ribosomal RNA, 716 nt
Filed under: Bacillus pseudomycoides
Lineage: Bacteria; Bacillati; Bacillota; Bacilli; Caryophanales; Bacillaceae
Description: bacterial SSU rRNA
Rfam family: Bacterial small subunit ribosomal RNA
Source: RNAcentral